This 520-nucleotide unclassified non-coding RNA is filed under the name uncultured Glomus. Its description in RNAcentral is "SSU rRNA". It matches the Rfam family "Eukaryotic small subunit ribosomal RNA", at positions 569 to 1094 of the family's 1831-position model. Lineage: Eukaryota; Fungi; Glomeromycota; Glomeromycetes; Glomerales; Glomeraceae. RNAcentral also lists the same sequence under 1 other name. The record is from RNAcentral.
AGCAGCCGCGGUAAUUCCAGCUCCAAUAGCGUAUAUUAAAGUUGUUGCAGUUAAAAGCUCGUAGUUGAAUUUCGGGAUCAGUAUGUUGGUCGUGCUUCGGUACGUACUGUCAUUACUGGUUUCUACCUUCUGAAGAACCUUGAUGUCAUUAAUUUGGUGUCUUGGGGAAUCAGGACUGUUACUUUGAAAAAAUUAGAGUGUUUAAAGCAAGCAUACGCUUGAAUACAUUAGCAUGGAAUAAUGAAAUAGGACGUUUGAUUCUAUUUUGUUGGUUUCUAGGAUCGACGUAAUGAUUAAUAGGGAUAGUUGGGGGCAUUAGUAUUCAAUUGUCAGAGGUGAAAUUCUUGGAUUUAUUGAAGACUAACUACUGCGAAAGCAUUUGCCAAGGAUGUUUUCAUUAAUCAAGAACGAAAGUUAGGGGAUCGAAGACGAUCAGAUACCGUCGUAGUCUUAACCAUAAACUAUGCCGACUAGGGAUCGGAUGAUGUUAUUUUUAAUGACUCAUUCGGCGCCUUACGGG